GAUCGGAGUCUGCAACCCGACUCCGUGAAGCUGGAUUCGCUAGUAAUCGCGCAUCAGCCAUGGCGCGGUGAAUACGUUCCCGGGCCUUGUACACACCGCCCGUCAAGCCAUGGAAGCCGGGAGUGCCUGAAGUACGCGACCGCAAGGAGCGUCCUAAGGUAAAACCGGUGACUGGGGCUAAGUCGUAACAAGGUACC
This 197-nucleotide ribosomal RNA is filed under the name uncultured bacterium. Its description in RNAcentral is "partial 16S ribosomal RNA". It matches the Rfam family "Bacterial small subunit ribosomal RNA", at positions 1296 to 1500 of the family's 1533-position model. The record is from RNAcentral.